AAUUGUCCUUUAUGCGGUGAACCUGGAGAGGACGCGGCGGCCGUGGCGCCACCAUGUGGAACACACCCACUCGGCGGUGUCGUGUUUCAUCAUCUCCCACGUUGGGCUGUUCCCCACCAGAUAAAUUAAUCCGAGCUGGAUGUGCAUGUGCUUGAAAGAUGGACAAAUUUUUGGGUGGUAACUUUUGCACUGACUUCCUAUUAGCAAAUGGUUGCUGUGCUCCUCCCCAUCACCCUCGGGCAGGUGUUGAUAUAAGCUGUCUUAGUCUCCUUUAUUAUCUUAUGCACUGUGAUGAACUCCAUCUACUUAUUUUAGUUGUGUUGAUGCUUCUAUGAGCUUACUGUCGUGUGGUGGACUUGGUUAUGUAAAAUGAUGUUUGGUGCUAUGGUGGACUUAAAUUAUCAUCCUGUGGUAAACUUUUGUGGACUUAAAUGUGAAGAUAUGUGUACUAGGUUGUGUGAACUU
This 465-nucleotide small RNA is filed under the name Oryza sativa Japonica Group (Japanese rice). RNAcentral's name for it is "sRNA Os11g0413800". The record is from RNAcentral. Lineage: Eukaryota; Viridiplantae; Streptophyta; Magnoliopsida; Poales; Poaceae.